UUAUUUGUUAAUGUAGAGAGCAUAAGAGGUUUUGAUUCUCUAAGCGUUAGUGCAAUUCUAUCACAAAUAAU
RNAcentral lists this transfer RNA (71 nucleotides) under Lepidurus arcticus. RNAcentral describes it as "tRNA-Gln". It matches the Rfam family "tRNA". Rfam says of the family: Transfer RNA (tRNA) molecules are approximately 80 nucleotides in length. Their secondary structure includes four short double-helical elements and three loops (D, anti-codon, and T loops). Further hydrogen bonds mediate the characteristic L-shaped molecular structure. tRNAs have two regions of fundamental functional importance: the anti-codon, which is responsible for specific mRNA codon recognition, and the 3' end, to which the tRNAs corresponding amino acid is attached (by aminoacyl-tRNA synthetases). tRNAs cope with the degeneracy of the genetic code in two manners: having more than one tRNA (with a specific anti-codon) for a particular amino acid; and 'wobble' base-pairing, i.e. permitting non-standard base-pairing at the 3rd anti-codon position. Lineage: Eukaryota; Metazoa; Arthropoda; Branchiopoda; Notostraca; Triopsidae. The record is from RNAcentral. RNAcentral also lists the same sequence under 1 other name.